Molecule: ribosomal RNA, 253 nt
Filed under: uncultured bacterium
Lineage: Bacteria
Description: partial 16S ribosomal RNA
Rfam family: Bacterial small subunit ribosomal RNA
Source: RNAcentral
UACGGAGGGUGCAAGCGUUAAUCGGAAUUACUGGGCGUAAAGAGCACGUAGGCGGGCGAUUAAGUCGGAUGUGAAAUCCCCGGGCCUAACCUGGGAACUGCAUCCGAUACUGGUUGCCUAGAGUAUGGAAGAGGGAAGCGGAAUUCCAGGUGUAGCGGUGAAAUGCGUAGAUAUCUGGAGGAACAUCAGUGGCGAAGGCGGCUUCCUGGUCCAAUACUGACGCUGAGGUGCGAAAGCGUGGGGAGCAAACAGG